GAUGAAGAACGUAGCGAACUGCGAUAAGUAAUGCGAAUUGCAGAAUUCCAGUGAGUCAUCGAAUCUUUGAACGCACAUUGCGCCCUUUGGUAUUCCGAAGGGCAUGCCUGUUCGAGCGUCAUUAUCACCCCUCAAGCCCUCGGCUUGGUGUUGGACGGUUUGGUGGAGGCCCCCUCGGGGGUUCCUGCCCCUCCCAAAGACAAUGACGGCGGCCUCGUUGGACCCCCGGUACACUGAGUUCUUCACGGGACACGUAUCGGACACAUGGGUUUACGGGACACGGUCUGCCUCCCCUCAGGGAGAAUCUUUCUAAGGUUGACCUCGGAUCAGGUAGGGAUACCCGCUGAACUUAAGCAUAUCAAUAAGCGGAGGA
RNAcentral lists this unclassified non-coding RNA (373 nucleotides) under soil metagenome. Its description in RNAcentral is "partial contains 5.8S ribosomal RNA, internal transcribed spacer 2, and large subunit ribosomal RNA". The stretch from base 1 to 121 matches the Rfam family "5.8S ribosomal RNA", at positions 35 to 154 of the family's 154-position model. The record is from RNAcentral.